CAAGCACAGCACGGCUCGCUG
This 21-nucleotide microRNA is filed under the name Ixodes ricinus (castor bean tick). Its description in RNAcentral is "iri-miR-X27-5p". The record is from RNAcentral. Lineage: Eukaryota; Metazoa; Arthropoda; Arachnida; Ixodida; Ixodidae.